GAUGAACGCUAGCGGCAGGCCUAAUACAUGCAAGUCGAACGGUGUCUUCGGACAUAGUGGCGCACGGGUGCGUAACACGUAUGCAACCUACCUUACAUUGGGGGAUAGCCUUUCGAAAGGGAGAUUAAUACCGCAUAAGACAGUAGCUGGGCAUCCAGCAGCUGUUAAAGAUUUAUCGAUGUAAGCUGGGCAUGCGUCCAAUUACCUAGUUGGUGAGGUAACGGCUAACCAAGGCAAUGAUUGGUAGGGGAACUGAGAGGUCAAUCCCCCACACUGGCACUGAGAUACGGGCCAGACUCCUACGGGAGGCAGCAGUAGGUAAUAGUGGGCAAUGGACGCAAGUCUGACCCAGCCAUGCCGCGUGCAGGAUGAAGGCGUUAUGCGUUGUAAACUGCUUUUAUACAGGAAGAAACGACUCUUGCGAGAGGCAUUGACGGUACUGUAUGAAUAAGCACCGGCUAACUCCGUGCCAGCAGCCGCCGUAA
RNAcentral lists this ribosomal RNA (485 nucleotides) under uncultured bacterium. RNAcentral's name for it is "partial 16S ribosomal RNA". It matches the Rfam family "Bacterial small subunit ribosomal RNA", at positions 28 to 523 of the family's 1533-position model. The record is from RNAcentral.